RNAcentral lists this non-coding RNA (32 nucleotides) under Geobacter sulfurreducens KN400. Lineage: Bacteria; Pseudomonadati; Thermodesulfobacteriota; Desulfuromonadia; Geobacterales; Geobacteraceae. The record is from RNAcentral.
CAGGAUGGCGGCGCCACUUCCUUCAUAAAUGU